UACGUGAGGGGCGAACGUUGUUCGGUGUCACUGGGCUUAAAGGGUGCGUAGGUGGUUGUGUAAGUAACGUGUGAAAUCCCUCGGCUUACCCGGGGAAUUGCAUGUUAUACUGCAUGACUUGAGGACCAAAGGGGAAAAGGGAACUCCAGGUGUAGCGGUGAAAUGCGCAGAUAUCAGGAGGAACACCGAUUGCGAAGGCAGCUCGCUGGAACGUAACUGACGCUGAGACGCGAAAGCGUGGGGAGCAAACAGG
RNAcentral lists this ribosomal RNA (253 nucleotides) under uncultured bacterium. RNAcentral's name for it is "partial 16S ribosomal RNA". It matches the Rfam family "Bacterial small subunit ribosomal RNA", at positions 524 to 776 of the family's 1533-position model. The record is from RNAcentral.